UGUUAAAAAAAUCAUUUAUUUGUGUUAUUAAAAAUUAAAAUAACUGACGAAAUAACUUGACAAUGACAUGUGACAUGUCACGUUUAUCUUAUGCUAAUGUAUAAGAACCAAUUUUUAACAGUAAAAAUGAAUAGAAUUUAUAAUA
This 145-nucleotide microRNA precursor is filed under the name Gossypium arboreum. Its description in RNAcentral is "MIR7502 microRNA precursor family". It matches the Rfam family "MIR7502 microRNA precursor family". Lineage: Eukaryota; Viridiplantae; Streptophyta; Magnoliopsida; Malvales; Malvaceae. The record is from Rfam by way of RNAcentral.